UCCUGUCUUUAUGCUAGUCUUUUGUUGUUUAAUAAUAUAGUUGUAAUCCUUACUAAAAUAUGAUUUUAUCGACACUACCAAAAGCGUUGCUUUAUUACGUUCAACAGUAUUUUAGUUCGUCGGGCCCUUUUGACAAAAGCCAGUAUUGUUUGCUUUUACACAAUUCGCUUUUCUCCAGACUGAGUAUAUUUUCAAAAUUGACCUCCGGAUACCAACUAACAGAUUGUGUGAAAACCUCCUUUUUUUUCUGACUGCCAUAAUUUUAAAAGCAGACAACCGGAAAUGCGGAAUGAUUGCCAUAUCGCCGUUACUUUAAAUCCCCACACUGACCAAAAAUAUAAUGGUUCGCGCCAUUUUUAUUAUAAAUGAUUUUGCCUCGGUUUUGUGCAAAAAUAAAUUCCGAAAAUACCAACAAUGAAUAAUCGUGGCUAAGAAGGUCCUUGAGCGUUUGUGGUUUAUUGCAGUAAGCGCCAUUUAUUGGACAUGAUCCCAAAGAAAUAUAUCCAAUGAAAUCGUAUGGCACGAUCGUACGAACAAGUCCCCUCGGCAUUUUUGAAGAUUACGUGGUCAUUGAACUUUUCUCGCAAUAAAUUGAUUUUGUCACGAGAUAUACGGCAUGUUGCGCCAUUUUGUUGAAUUCGCACAUCAUCUAAGGUAAAUUCACAAAAUAUUACUAAACUCGUGUAAAAGG
Glossina fuscipes is the source of this 691-nucleotide long non-coding RNA. RefSeq lists it as uncharacterized. The transcript is spliced from 4 exons. The record is from RefSeq and is a predicted model, not a curated record. NCBI's taxonomy places the organism in Eukaryota, Metazoa, Arthropoda, Insecta, Diptera, Glossinidae.